This 253-nucleotide ribosomal RNA is filed under the name uncultured bacterium. RNAcentral describes it as "partial 16S ribosomal RNA". It matches the Rfam family "Bacterial small subunit ribosomal RNA", at positions 524 to 776 of the family's 1533-position model. The record is from RNAcentral.
UACGAACUGCGCGAGCGUUAUUCGGAAUCACUGGGCUUACAGGGUGCGUAGGUGGCAUCGAAAGUAGGGUGUGAAAUGCCUUGGCUCAACCAAGGCACAGCGCUCUAAACUACUUUGCUUGAGUGAGUCAGGGGUGCACGGAACUUCCGGUGGAGCGGUGAAAUGUGUUGAUAUCGGAAGGAACACCGGCGGCGAAAGCGGUGCACUGGGGCUUAACUGACACUGAGGCACGAAAGCCAGGGGAGCGAACGGG